This is an RNA transcript of Nasonia vitripennis (jewel wasp), 2688 nucleotides long. RefSeq lists it as uncharacterized. Lineage: Eukaryota; Metazoa; Arthropoda; Insecta; Hymenoptera; Pteromalidae. The record is from RefSeq and is a predicted model, not a curated record. The transcript is spliced from 4 exons.
UUUGUUUUGAUGCGGGGAAGCCGAAAUUUCUCCAGUGCGUUUUUUUGUUUUCUCGCUCCGCUGGUUGGGUUUUUACGGGAUUCCUUUAGUGCUUGUCUUAACGUGCUCACUACUGCCGAUUAUUCGUAGAUAAAGAUCGGUUCUUAAAGCGGCCGUAACUGGCGUGUUUAAAGCUUAUUAAUAUACGCUAAUUGUAUGCACGGAGUAAAUAAAAAUCGAUUUUCCUGUUGAGCUCGAUCGUAAACUCGCAAUAUAACACAGAUGUGUACGUAUAAGACAGCGAUCGUCAAUCCGUCGUCGAAAUUUUCCAACCCUCUCUCGCGACAACAAGCACCUUUCCGCCUCCCAAAUUUCAAAGUAGCCCGCGAAACUCGGUCAAGCCGAUCACCUGUACGAUGGACGACGACCAGUCCAGCUUCUUCGGCCGAUUCUACACCUGCGGUAACCGAUCGUCCAGCUCCCAUCAGCUGAACCUUUGCCGAUCUAACCUACGAGCCAUAUAACCUCCUCUAAGUGAACUCGAGCUUCAGCAAGGAGGUCAGCAAUCCCUGCAAACCGGGACAGAAGUCCUUCGUAGCCGGUCUCUUCGACUCGAAGCCGAAGGAGCCCCCGGAACGCGCCAAAGCCAGCGAGGGGAAACGAGCCAAGCCGGAUGAAUCAAAGGCCGUAAAAAAUGACGAGCCUUCCGAGGAUAAAGAGCCCGAGCCACAACAGUCUUAUCAGGACGGCGCAACUGACUCGCCGCCUGCAGAGAAUAUCUGCUUCAUCAAGGAACAGGUGCGAUAGAUCGUCGCACGAUUCCAUUCGCGAUGAUUCAGGGGGAAAAAAAUCCUCUCGACCCGUGCUGCUGCGAGUUGAAGACCGACGACGAGGAUGAUGGGAGUCCUUGUCCGCCUGCCGGUUACUCGGAGAACCCGCGAGUACCCGGCUGUGGCUGCGACCUGUGCCGCAAGAGCGGAUACCACGGGAGCUGCUGCGGCAGACGGGCUUACGUCCAGGGCGGCGACGAAGAGCCGCCCCGGUUUGAACAGGCUUAGCAUUUUUAUUUAUUGUUAUAGCUAUGUGAGCUGAACGGGUGUGGAUCUGAUAACCUCAUGCGCCGCGUAAUCUUAUCGGGCACGUAUGCGCAACGCUUCGUCGCGACGGUGUACCAUCACGUCUGUUGAAGUGUCUGUACAACGUAUAAAAAUUUUCAGUUCCGCACUGAAAAAACUGCUCACGGAGAGAAACGAUCUGCCUUCCAAGGUUUCGCCGAUUCUCCAAAUAUUUGCGUAAAUCCUUCGGCUGGUAGACUCUCGAGGAAGAAAACCAGUUCCACCGCGCCGUGAAAUCCUAUAAGUCUGGCAUGCGCAUAUCCAUCUUCUGCAGAAUAUCUCGAAAUUAAAAUCCCACAUACCGGCCGCGGUCAGUUGCGAAAUCGAGAGUAAAAAACAAAGUGGUACACGCAGCUCCUCAAUAUCGGCGCACAAUCUCCAGACGAUUUUCGCCUGGCAACGCUCCGGCCGUGAAAUCCGCACGAGCGCGACUGAGAUAAAUUUGAAUUUGAAUCGCGCGCAAAAGCGCCGGGUUGAAAACCGAAAGAGGGCAAGGUGUACCUUGCGUCGAGAUGCAAAUUUUCCGACGAUAGCUCAGCGGUUGGUCGAGUGACUUCGCGGACGAGUCGUGAUCGAGCUUUUAUAUUUUCUUUUAUGAUUAUCUUAAUCCGGCCAUAAGCGAACCUUGGCUUUUGAUUCGAGCUUCUGGGCUGGAAAGGCGUAUACUGAUUACAUAGAGUAAGAACUGAUUAAUCCAAAUAUAUUGAGACUCUUUAUGUAACGCUAACGAAAACUACGCAACGCCUAAUCGAAUAGAUAAAAGGUACAUAUCGGCUGUACGUAUAAUCGUCGGGGAAACUUGCGAGUUUCUGCGAUACACAGCUCAAAAAAUAACAUGUGCGCGAUGCAUUUAAAUCGUCCAGCCCUGAAUAAUUCAUAAAAUUCGACGAUAAGGAAUCAAUCACAGACUCAUACAGACGCGCGAACUCGCGUCACGCAAGUUCAGAGAAAAUUCGCUACUCCCGGGUUUUGUCAUUGUAAUGUGACCUAGUGAACACACACGGCGAAGAAAAACAGCGAACAAAGUAAAAAUUCCGAUAUUUAAACAAACCACAUGAGGGGGGCACGCGCUGAUCAAAUUGCAACGUGUGUAUUGUUUUAAUCUUUUAACUUUCCUGAUAGCGAAGAUCAAUCACGCGUUUGACUUUGCUUCGGGUCAAUCUCGCUUAUUGCCUCGAAUCCCGCUCUAGUGCAAACAUGACUGGUUGUGAAGUGCACCUCGAGUUCUGGUGUGUGGAAAAAAUUCAUUAUACCAAAUUGAGGACAUACACCGACCUAUCGGAUUAUGUUUGCUCGAAGGAAAGAAAAGAAGCUUUCGCGAUAUGUAUAUCGAUCGGAGACGCGCGUGUGAGGUUAUUUUUUGUUUUUAUUUUAAUAAGAUUAGAAGUUUAAUAAAUAGCUUAUCGCUAUUAUUAUAUUCAUAAUCAGUGCGCUUUUCAUCGGAAAGCCAUUAUCUCGCGAGAUAGCGAAACGCCGCGUAUGCAAAUAAAUAGAAGAGCGCAAAAAUAGAUCGGUAUUACCCUAUGCGCGCGAAAUCCCAACCGAUCUCCAAUAAAUGCCGAACGAAUCAAAAGGUAUAUAGCUGCUCGUGAUC